This is a long non-coding RNA of Mesoplodon densirostris (Blainville's beaked whale), 560 nucleotides long. RefSeq lists it as uncharacterized. The record is from RefSeq and is a predicted model, not a curated record. The transcript is spliced from 3 exons. NCBI's taxonomy places the organism in Eukaryota, Metazoa, Chordata, Mammalia, Artiodactyla, Ziphiidae.
GGCCUCCCACUGUUGUGGCGUCUCCCGUUGCAGAGCACAGGCUCCGGACGCGCAGGCUCAGCGGCCAUGGCUCACGGGCCCAGCCACUCCGCAGCAUGUGGGCUCUUCCCGGACCGGGGCACGAACCCGUGUCCCCUGCAUCGGCAGGUGGACUCUCAACCACUGUGCCACCAGGGAAGCCCGAGAAUAACGUUCUUACUACCACGUGCCAGGUAUUGUUCCAAGCACCUUACGUGACAAACUCAUUGAAUUCUUCUCUCAGGUAGAAGAAGAGAGGCCAGGUCAUCUGGUAAACGUUGGCCUGUAACACAGUUCAUGGAAGGCUAUUUGGUGCCCAUUCAUCCCCAAGACAUCCACACAUGAGAAUUCACCAGUACAAAAAUGUUUAAGACUUAUUUGAGAAGGUAUCCAAAUGAUGAGUCCAUUUGCAGUUAGAGUUCUUCCUAAUUGGAAAGGUUCUUCCACACACCGUACCUUACUCAUGGCUCUACUUCAUGGUGCUUCAUACUGUCGUCUCCACAGGAUAUUUUUAGCUCCCCUACCAGAUUAUGCUUUUUCUU